Molecule: ribosomal RNA, 1970 nt
Filed under: gut metagenome
Description: bacterial LSU rRNA
Rfam family: Bacterial large subunit ribosomal RNA
Source: RNAcentral
UCAGGUAAACAAGAGCGCAGGGCGGAUGCCUUGGCACUGGGCGCCGAUGAAGGACGCGAUAAGCUGCGAAAAGCUGCGGGGAGGAGCACAUAUCCGCUGAUCCGCAGAUGUCCGAAUGGGGCAACCCGCAUGAGCAGACCUCAUGCACCGCAGGCUGAAUCCAUAGGUCUGUGGAGGGAACCUCCUGAACUGAAACAUCUAAGUAGGGAGAGGAAAAGAAAACAAACGUGAUUCCGUCAGUAGCGGCGAGCGAACGCGGAAGAGCCUAAACCGGCUGGCUUGCCAGCCGGGGUUACGGACUGCAAAGAGAAUCCGAAGCGAACCGGAACGGUUUUGGGAAAGCCGGCCGGAGAGGGUGAAAGCCCCGUAAGGGAAAGCGGAAGGGUUCGGGCAGGAUCCAGAGUACCACGAGACACGGGAAACCUUGUGGGAAGUCGGGGGGACCACCCCCCAAGGCUAAAUACGACCCAGUGACCGAUAGCGGACAGUACCGUGAGGGAAAGGUGAAAAGUACCCCGGGAGGGGAGUGAAAGAGAACCUGAAACCCUGUGUUUACGACCGGCGGAAGCACCACGCUUGCAGGUGCGACCGCGUACUUUUUGUAGAACGGUCCGGCGAGUUGCGGGACGCGGCAAGGGAAAGGAUGAGGACAUCCGGACCCGGAGGGAAACCGAGCCUUAAGAGGGCGUCAGUCGCGUCACGCAGACCCGAAACCGGGUGAUCUACCCAUGGCCAGGAUGAAGGGGCCGUAAAAGGCCCUGGAGGUCCGAACGCACAUCCGUUGAAAAGGGUGGCGAUGAGCGGUGGGUAGGGGAGAAAUUCCAAUCGAACCCGGAGAUAGCUGGUUCUCCUCGAAAUAGCUUUAGGGCUAGCCUUCACCAAGUCUUGCGGAGGUAGAGCACUGAAUAUCCGCGGGGGCGUCAAAGCUUACCAAAGAUUAUCAAACUCCGAAUGCCGUGUAGACGAUGGUGGGGAGUCAGGCCGCAUGAGAUAAGUCGGGCGGCCAAAAGGGAAACAGCCCAGACCAGCAGCUAAGGCCCCAAAGUGCGUGUUAAGUGGUAAAGGAUGUGGGAUCUCGAAGACAACUAGGAUGUUGGCUCAGAAGCAGCCACGCAUUCAAAGAGUGCGUAAUAGCUCACUAGUCGAGAGGUCCUGCGCCGAAAAUGACCGGGGCUGAAACACGCCGCCGAAGCUCUGGGAUGGCGGAAGCCAUCGGUAGAGGAGCAUUGCCGCGGGGGCGAAGCAUGACCGACAAGGGCAUGUGGACCCGCGGGAAGAGAGAAUGCCGGAAUGAGUAGCGAGAUGAGGGCGGGAAUCCCUCAGGCCGAAUAUCCAAGGAUUCCAGGGUCAAGCUGAUCUGCCCUGGGUAAGUCGGGACCUAAGGCGAGGGCGGAAGCCGUAGCCGAUGGACGACAGGUGGAGAUUCCUGUACUGCGAUGCGACAGAACUGCAGGGACGCAUUUCCAAAGUCUGACCGCGGAUGGAAAACGCGGAGAAAGCGGGAAGGCGGGCAUGGGAUAAAAGACAUGCGGAACGCCAUUCCGUGAGACGACCGAACUUCAAGUAGGAGAGAGGGCGGAGGGAGUGCCGGGAAAAGCUGCUAUCGUUCGCACCGUACCCGUACCGUAAACCGACACAGGUGGAUGAGGAGAGAAUCCUAAGGCCGGCGGAAGAAGUAUUGUUAAGGAACUCGGCAAAAUGACCCCGUAACUUCGGGAGAAGGGGUGCCGUCCUCCGGGGCGGCCGCAGAGUCCAGGCCCAAGCAACUGUUUAGCAAAAACACAGGUCUAUGCAAAGCCGGAAGGCGACGUAUAUGGGCUGACGCCUGCCCGGUGCUGGAAGGUUACGAGGAGGGGUCAGCGAAAGCGAAGCCCUGAAUCCAAGCCCCAGUAAACGGCGGCCGUAACUAUAACGGUCCUAAGGUAGCGAAAUUCCUUGUCGGGCAAGUUCCGACCCGCACGAAAGGCGUA